GCCGUGUUAGCUCAGUCGGUAGAGCACCACACUCUUAAUCUGGCUGUCGCGGGUUCGAGCCGCGCACCGGGCU
Parelaphostrongylus tenuis is the source of this 73-nucleotide non-coding RNA. Lineage: Eukaryota; Metazoa; Nematoda; Chromadorea; Rhabditida; Metastrongylidae. The record is from the annotation of a GenBank genome assembly.